AGUGAACGCUGGCGGCGUGCCUAAUACAUGCAAGUCGAACGCGAAAGUCCUUCGGGAUGAGUAAAGUGGCGCACGGGUGAGUAAUACAUGGGAACGUGCCCUCAAAUGGGGAAUAACAGUUGGAAACGACUGCUAAUACCGCAUAGUCUCGCAAGAGUAAAGGUGGCGCCGUAAGGGCUACCGUUUGAGGAUCGGCCCAUGUCCCAUUAGCUAGUUGGUGAGGUAAUAGCUCACCAAGGCGACGAUGGGUAACUGGUCUGAGAGGAUGAUCAGUCACACUGGAACUGAGACACGGUCCAGACUCCUACGGGUGGCUG
RNAcentral lists this ribosomal RNA (317 nucleotides) under uncultured Pseudomonadota bacterium. RNAcentral's name for it is "bacterial SSU rRNA". It matches the Rfam family "Bacterial small subunit ribosomal RNA", at positions 29 to 351 of the family's 1533-position model. The record is from RNAcentral. Lineage: Bacteria; Pseudomonadati; Pseudomonadota.